Molecule: ribosomal RNA, 438 nt
Filed under: uncultured bacterium
Lineage: Bacteria
Description: partial 16S ribosomal RNA
Rfam family: Bacterial small subunit ribosomal RNA
Source: RNAcentral
CUACGGGAGCUGCAGUGAGGUAUAUUGCACAAUGGGGGGAACCCUGAUGCAGCAACGCCGCGUGGAGGAUGACGCAUUUCGGUGUGUAAACUCCUUUUAUAUGUCAAGAAAAUGACGGUAGCAUAUGAAUAAGCACCGGCUAACUCCGUGCCAGCAGCCGCGGUAAUACGGAGGGUGCAAGCGUUACUCGGAAUCACUGGGCGUAAAGGACGCGUAGGCGGGUUGGAAAGUCAGGUGUGAAAUCCUACAGCUUAACUGUAGAACUGCACUUGAAACUUCUAAUCUAGAGUAUGGGAGGGGGAGAUGGAAUUAGUGGUGUAGGGGUAAAAUCCGUAGAUAUCACUAGGAAUACCUAAAGCGAAGGCGAUCUCCUGGAACAUUACUGACGCUAAGGCGUGAAAGCGUGGGGAGCAAACAGGAUUAGAUACACGAGUAGUC